UAUUGGGACAACCUGAUAAUAAGGAAUUACAGUAGUCAAGCCUAGAAGUAACAAAUGCAUGGACUAGUUUUUCUGCAUCACUCUGAGACAGGAUGUUCCUGAUUUUCACAAUAUUUCUCAGGUGGAAAAAGGAAGUCCUACAGAUUUUUAUGUGUUUUUGAUCUGAACCUUGGUAGCACAGAGCAGAAGGUUGGUAGAGGGUUGGCAGAGGGUUGGCAGAGGGUUGGCAGAAGGUUGGUAGAGGGUUGGCAGAGGGUUGGCAGAGGGUAGGUAGAAGGUUGGCAGAUGGUUGGCAGAAGGUUGGUAGAAGCUUGGUAGAGGGUUGGUAGAGGGUUGGCAGAGGGUUGGUAGAAGCUUGGUAGAGGGUUGGCAGAGGGUUGGCAGAGGGUUGGCAGAGGGUUGGUAGAAGGUUGGUAGAGGGUUGGUAGAAGGUUGGUAGAGGGUUGGCAGAGGGUUGGCAGAAGAUUGGCAGAGGGUUGGCAGAGGGUUGGCAGAGGGUUGACAGAAGGUUGGUAGAGGGUUGGUAGAAGGUUGGGGUUGAAAACAGCAACCCUGGUGAUUCCAGCCAGGUGAUGGUGGAGCUCCUCAAGACACCAGGAUGGAAGCUGAUGGUGGAUCUAUAUACCAUUAUUGCAUUACAUUCACUCUGUUUCUUUCUGUGUCCUUUCUCCGAGUGUCCCUGGUCCCAGAGCUGGAUGCUGGA
This is a long non-coding RNA of Amphiprion ocellaris (clown anemonefish), 703 nucleotides long. The record is from Ensembl. Lineage: Eukaryota; Metazoa; Chordata; Actinopteri; Pomacentridae.